This 451-nucleotide ribosomal RNA is filed under the name uncultured bacterium. RNAcentral's name for it is "partial 16S ribosomal RNA". It matches the Rfam family "Bacterial small subunit ribosomal RNA", at positions 29 to 523 of the family's 1533-position model. The record is from RNAcentral.
AACGAACGCUGGCGGCAGGCCUAAUACAUGCAAGUCGAACGGAUGUAGCAAUACAUUAGUGGCGCACGGGUGCGGAACACGUGGGAACAUACCCUUUGGUAAGGAAUAAUGUCUGGAAACGGACACUAAUACCUUAUAAUGACUUCGGUCUAAAGAUUUAUCGCCAAAGGAUUGGCCCGCGUCUGAUUAGGUAGUUGGUGGGGUAAUGGCCUACCAAGCCUACGAUAAGUAGCUGGUCUGAGAGGAUGAUCAGCCACACUGGAACUGAGACACGGUCCAGACUCCUACGGGAGGCAGCAGUAAGGAGUAUUGGACAAUGGGCGCAAGCCUGAUCCAGCCAUGCCGCGUGAGUGAAGAAGGCCUUAGGGUUGUAAAGCUCUUUCAAUGGUGAAGAUAAUGACGGUAGCUAUAGAAGAAGCCCCGGCUAAAUUCGUGCCAGCAGCCGCGGUAA